Molecule: ribosomal RNA, 521 nt
Filed under: uncultured Actinomycetes bacterium
Lineage: Bacteria; Bacillati; Actinomycetota; Actinomycetes
Description: bacterial SSU rRNA
Rfam family: Bacterial small subunit ribosomal RNA
Source: RNAcentral
AGAGUUUGAUCCUGGCUCAGGACGAACGCUGGCGGCGUGCUUAACACAUGCAAGUCGAGCGGUAAGGCCCUUUCGGGGGUACACGAGCGGCGAACGGGUGAGUAACACGUGGGUGACCUGCCUUUAGCUCUGGGAUAAGCCUGGGAAACUGGGUCUAAUACCGGAUAUGACCUCAUGGUGCAUGUUGUGGGGUGGAAAGCCUUGUGCGGCUAGGGAUGGGCCCGCGGCCUAUCAGCUUGUUGGUGGGGUGAUGGCCUACCAAGGCGACGACGGGUAGCCGGCCUGAGAGGGCGACCGGCCACACUGGGACUGAGACACGGCCCAGACUCCUACGGGAGGCAGCAGUGGGGAAUAUUGGGCAAUGGGCGCAAGCCUGACCCAGCCAUGCCGCGUGAGUGAUGAAGGCCUUCGGGUCGUAAAGCUCUGUGGGAAGGGACGAAAAAAACAGACCUAAUACGUCUGGGCUUGACGGUACCUUCUUAGCAAGCACCGGCUAACUCCGUGCCAGCAGCCGCGGUAAU